Molecule: long non-coding RNA, 222 nt
Filed under: Brassica napus (rape)
Lineage: Eukaryota; Viridiplantae; Streptophyta; Magnoliopsida; Brassicales; Brassicaceae
Description: long non-coding RNA (BNAP_LNC026121)
Source: RNAcentral
UGUAUAUCCCACUGCUGGGUUAUCUCUCGAUUUGCAGGAUGAGACCUAUCCGUCUUUCGGAACUUGCCCUUUGUGCUGAGCCUACCAGUCUGUACCGAGGAACCCCCACGCUCACCCUGCUUCUUCUGUCUCUUAGGCAUUAUCUGCAAAAUUAAUUCAUCAAAACCCAAGUAAGAGACAAAUUGAAAAACACUCUUAUAAAAUCAAUUCUGAUCAAUCCCC